UGCGUAGGGUCCGAGCGUUGUCCGGAAUUAUUGGGCGUAAAGGGCUCGUAGGCGGUUUGUCGCGUCGGGAGUGAAAACACCGGGCUUAACUCGGUGCUUGCUUUCGAUACGGGCAGACUAGAGGUAUGCAGGGGAGAACGGAAUUCCUGGUGUAGUGGUGAAAUGCGCAGAUAUCAGGAGGAACACCGGUGGCGAAGGCGGCAUCCUGGACCAACACUGACGCUGAGGAGCGAAAGCCAGGGGAGCGAACGGG
Molecule: ribosomal RNA, 253 nt
Filed under: uncultured bacterium
Lineage: Bacteria
Description: partial 16S ribosomal RNA
Rfam family: Bacterial small subunit ribosomal RNA
Source: RNAcentral